UACUGGGUGGUCCAAACAAAACCAAUAACCGUUUUUGAAUUACCAAAUUACCCUUCUGUAACCAGUCCAGUCCAGGCCCUCCUCCCCUCCCCGUAGAAAUUCAAACGAAGUUCCAAUUUCGUCUAUCGGGGACGCCGCGUUUGGAGAGCGAGAAAGCGAAGGUGAAACGAAGAGAAAAUGCUACCUCCGCAAUGGGCUUCCCCAUGUGGAAAUCAAUGCACUCACAAAUACGCUACUCUCAUGCAAAUUCCUUGGAGAGUGUUUUGCAAAAAAGGUUGUGAUGCGGAUGGAGAGACUUGGGAGGAAUGUUUGUCAGAGUGUGAAGAGAUAUGCUAUAAGGAUCCUGUAUUAAAGGACCAGAAAUGGAGUGCUUACAUUGACCGUUCUCCUGGGGCUGCCAAUUACUCUGAGGAAUGCUUCCAUGCUUGUGUAGCUGGCUGUGGUUAUAAGUUUGAAAUGUGUCAAGAGAAAGUUGAUCAAGUCCGACCAAACAGACCAUUGCCACCCAAGCCUCCUCCUGUAGAGAAGCCACCAAAACCACCUGUCACUAAUCCCGAUGAACCUGCUGAAGAUGUACCAAGUACUUCAGCAUAGCAAGAGGUGAAACGUAAACAUAUGAUUAAAAGUAUACCUCAAUAGUAUUGUUAGCUGACUAGUCCGGACUCUGCAAGGAGAUCCAUUUAUGUUACUCACAUGCUACUAUUGAUUGAUAUCUUGGGGCUGUUUUGGUGAAGAAGCAUAAUUUUUUGCUUCUAUAAUUUGCCCCUUGUCACCUUAGUUAACCUUCAAAUCAAUCUCCAAUUGUUCUGGAUCUCCACUAACUGAGAUGAAACAAAAUGAGCCAAUCCAGUUCGUUGCAUUUGAUUAUGGCUGAUCUUUUUGAAUGAAAAU
Molecule: non-coding RNA, 891 nt
Organism: Theobroma umbraticum
Lineage: Eukaryota; Viridiplantae; Streptophyta; Magnoliopsida; Malvales; Malvaceae
Source: RefSeq, a predicted model, not a curated record